Molecule: long non-coding RNA, 389 nt
Filed under: Nicotiana benthamiana
Lineage: Eukaryota; Viridiplantae; Streptophyta; Magnoliopsida; Solanales; Solanaceae
Description: long non-coding RNA (NBEN_LNC035012)
Source: RNAcentral
UAGUUAUAAUAGUGGUAGCAUUGAGGAUGUUUAGCUUAAGUUCUUCGGUGACAUAAUUAUCCCACCAAUACCUAAGCAUUCCGGUGAAGCCAGCUGUGAUCAUUGCAGCUGCUUCUUUGUCUGAAGAAUUACGCAGCUUAUAGCUGGUAAUACAAACACCCAUUUCGUGUAGAACACAAUAGAUUUGAUGUUCAGCAAGACCAUCAAUAUUCCAUUCGACUAUGCCUCUACCAUCAUGAGAUCGUGAAGAACACGAUAGAUUUGAUGUUCAGCAAGACCAUCAAUAUUCCAUUCGACUAUGCCUCAACCAUCAUGAGAUGAUUGAGACUGGAAUCCAUCUUCCUCAUACUGAGUAUCAGGAAAGGAGGGUCGUUUGUAAUAGUUUCUCC